GGUGAGAUGGCCGAGCGGUCUAAGGCGCCAGACUAAGGAUCAGGACAUUUGAUGUUCAAUCGUUGUAAGGUUCACACCUUGUAAUCUGGUCCUCCGGGGCGUGGGUUCGAAUCCCACUCUCAUCA
Crucibulum laeve is the source of this 125-nucleotide non-coding RNA. Lineage: Eukaryota; Fungi; Basidiomycota; Agaricomycetes; Agaricales; Nidulariaceae. The record is from the annotation of a GenBank genome assembly.